UACGUAGGGGGCUAGCGUUGUCCGGAAUCAUUGGGCGUAAAGAGCGUGUAGGCGGUCCGGUAAGUCCGUUGUGAAAGUCAGGGGCUCAACCCUUGAAUGCCGGCGGAUACUGUCGGGCUAGAGUCCGGAAGAGGCAAGUGGAAUUCCCGGUGUAGCGGUGAAAUGCGCAGAUAUCGGGAGGAACACCUAUGGCGAAGGCAGCUUGCUGGGACGGUACUGACGCUGAGAACGCGAAAGCGUGGGGGAGCAAACAGG
Molecule: ribosomal RNA, 255 nt
Filed under: uncultured bacterium
Lineage: Bacteria
Description: partial 16S ribosomal RNA
Rfam family: Bacterial small subunit ribosomal RNA
Source: RNAcentral